CCUCUUCGAUCUGCUGCGGGCAGAUGAAAUGGAUAUGCGCGUCCAUGCCGCCGGCCGUCAGGAUCCGGCCCUCGCCGGCGAUCGCCUCGGUCGACGGACCGACAAUGAUCGUCACGCCCGGCUGGGUAUCCGGAUUACCGGCCUUGCCGAUUGCGUGGAUGCGGCCAUCCUUCAACCCGACAUCGGCCUUGUAGAUACCCGAGUGAUCGACGAUCAGCGCAUUGGUGAUCACCGUGUCGACGGCACCUUCUGCGCGUGUCGCCUGGCUCUGGCCCAUGCCAUCGCGG
This 287-nucleotide small RNA is filed under the name Rhizobium sp. PDO1-076. RNAcentral's name for it is "5' ureB small RNA". It matches the Rfam family "5' ureB small RNA". The record is from Rfam by way of RNAcentral. Lineage: Bacteria; Pseudomonadati; Pseudomonadota; Alphaproteobacteria; Hyphomicrobiales; Rhizobiaceae.